AUUCCCGGGCUAUGACUUGAAGCUUUGGUGGUUUUCACCACGAGCUUUUUAUUGCUCUGAAAUGUUUUAUGUGGUUUUAAUCUUCUUUGGUGUUUUCCAUGUGUAACAUUUGUUUUACUGCUGAUGGGGCGUCAGGAUAGAUUUAGCACAUAGGAAGAGUACUUUUGCUGAAAUUUUCUAGGGCCUGCUCAUUUUCUUAAUUCUUCAAAGAGGAGGAACAUUGUUCCUAUUUUGUCUCUUAUGUUUUUAAUGAAAAAGACUGAAUCUGGAGUUCCUGUCAUGGCUCAGUGAUUAAUGAACCUGACUAGUAUCCAUGAGGACGCGGGUUCGAUCCCUGGCCUUGCUCAGUGGGUUAAGGAUCCGGCAUUGCUGUGAGCUGUGGUGUAGGUUGCAGAGGCGGCUUGGAUCCUGGGUGGCUGUGGCUGUGGCAUAGGCUGGCAGCUAUAGCCUUGAUUGGACCCCUAGCCUGGGAACCUCCAUAUGCCACAGGUGCAGCCCUAAAAAAAAAAAAAAAAUUAAUUUAAGAAAUUCUAAAGGAAAUAAAGUAAUAAAUAAUAUGCUCAGAUGGCUUAUAUUAUUUCACUCUCAGUUCUAUGUCAAGGUAUUUUUUCUCUUCUUUGCAUAUAACAUAAUUAUUCACAUUUUUUGUAUCAACCAAAUACAUAUAUUUGUAAUUUUAAUAGACAUGGUGUAUUCAAUAAUUUCGUGACAUGAUUUAAUUGGGAACUCUCCUAGUUUUGAGUUACUUUUAGUUAGUCACAAAUUUUUAUGAUCCAUACCUUAAUUUUUUUGUUCUACUCUUCAAUAAAUCUUAGCCCAUAUGUAUUAAACCAUUCUUUGUAUUUAAAAGGAGAAUGAAUAGAGAAACCAUCAAACAAUAAUCAGCCUUUAUAAAGAGCAAAUACACUUCAGCUAAGCUUGCUGAGAAGUCCUAAAAAGUUAGGGUGAGAGACUAGAUUCGAGAGGUGAAUUUCUAAAAGAAAUGUAAAGUACAGGGCUUGGGCCAUAGCUUGCCUCUUUUAGUGCUAUUAUGUAUAAGAAAAAAUUUUACCUCUAUGAUAUUGCUUAAAUAGAAUUCAGUUGAUACCAUUUAUGAAUAUUGUAAGUAAAUGUUUAUUAAAUGUGACUUUGUCUCCCUGAUGUGAUAGAUUUUGGUGUUUCAUUGAAAAGAAAAUAUUUUUAAUUGUAUUAUUUAGGUUGUCUCCUGUUAGUUUUUCCUAAGUUAUCACAGUUUUCAGUUUUGUCUCAGUUCUUAGUUAAGGCAUGUCUUGAACCGAGUUUGUUAGGCAAUUACUGGUUUUAUUUCUUCUUAUAAUUUCCUCACUUUUCUAAUAUGUACUUUUCAUGUUGCUUGGAACGUAAACAUUUACUAUUUUAGAUAGAGUAUGUCUUUGCAAAAUCCUACAGUGACCCUUCAUUGCAUUUUAUUUAGAAUUUUUUUUAGUCUGAUAGCAUUAUAAGUAUCCUUAUCUGUUUGACCUCCUAAGUUUCUUCGGAAACUUAUCAAGCAACUAUUCCCUUCUUUCUCUCCCUACUGACUCCUGUUUAAUCUGUGAACCAAAUCAUGUUUCUCUCUCCUUUUAAAAAAACAAGCAAAAACAGCUUACUUGACCACCUACACUCUGUCUUUCCCCCCCUUCACUGCCAAACCUCUUAAGACUCUGUCCUCUCUGAUUUCAUGUCCUCACUUGUCACUGUUCAGUCUCCCGUCAUCUGUCUUCUCUCCUUAUCAUUUUACGAGAAAAAGCAUGCCCAUUGCCAUGGUGUCUUCUUAAUUGUUCUCAUUCCAUUCAGCCUCCUUGGCGAAUGUUUAUCAAUGACUGUCACUGUCCUCAAUAUUUUUCCUUCCCUUGGGAAUUAACUUUAUUCUAAGGUGUCUAUUUCACUUUAUUUCUUUCUCUCAUGUCUCUUCCUUCCUCUGCCCUUUAAAUGUAUAUAUAUCCUGCCAAGAUUUCAUUCUUUAUCAGCAGAAGAGACCUUUCUCAAACCUAGUCUCUCCCUGGUCAAUUUCAUACGUUUCCAUGGUGGCAUCAAUCGCCUCCACAUUAAUGGUGCCAACCUACCUCUGCAGACGCCAGGCCUGACUGCUUCCUUACUCCUAGGUCUGGAUUAACCCUGCAUGAGCCUCAAACAUACUUUGUUCAGAGCCACCUGUGCACCCUCAACCAAACUCGCUUCUCCCUCCUGGAUAUUUUUCUCAAUUGUUGGAACCCCAAACCACCGGGUCACUUGAACUAGAAACUCAGAAGUCCUUUUGACUUCUCCUUUUCCUUCAUCCCGCAUGUCUAACCAGGCUCAGUCCUGGCAACACUUUGACCCCAAGAACCUAUGGGAUCUGAAACCUUUGCUCCAUCCCUAGUGCCCUGAUGCAGAAAGGGAGAAGGGGUGAAAGAGAGGAAGGAAUUAAAAAAGAAUGAAGAGAGGGAAGAAAGGAGGAAGGAAAGGAAAAAAGAAGGUGGGAGGGA
RNAcentral lists this long non-coding RNA (2465 nucleotides) under Sus scrofa (pig). RNAcentral's name for it is "lncRNA (ENSSSCG00030029717.1)". The record is from RNAcentral. Lineage: Eukaryota; Metazoa; Chordata; Mammalia; Artiodactyla; Suidae.